RNAcentral lists this ribosomal RNA (611 nucleotides) under Hepatozoon canis. RNAcentral describes it as "SSU rRNA". It matches the Rfam family "Eukaryotic small subunit ribosomal RNA", at positions 213 to 812 of the family's 1831-position model. Lineage: Eukaryota; Apicomplexa; Hepatozoidae. The record is from RNAcentral.
GAUAAAAAGCCAGUUCAUGCUUUUACAGUAUGAAAAUUGGUGAUUUAUAAUAACUUAGCAAAUCGCAAAGUGAAAACAGGCGAUAAAUCAUUCAAGUUUCUGACCUAUCAGCUUUCGACGGUAUGGUAUUGGCUUACCGUGGCAGUGACGGUUAACGGGGGAUUAGGGUUCGAUUCCGGAGAGGGAGCCUGAGAAACGGCUACCACAUCUAAGGAAGGCAGCAGGCGCGCAAAUUACCCAAUUCUAACAGUUUGAGAGAGGUAGUAACAAGAAAUAACAAUACAAGGCAGUUAAAAUGCUUUGUAAUUGGAAUGAUAGAAAUUUAAACCCUUUUUAAAGUAUCAAUUGGAGGGCAAGUCUGGUGCCAGCAGCCGCGGUAAUUCCAGCUCCAAUAGCGUAUAUUAAAAUUGUUGCAGUUAAAAAGCUCGUAGUUGAAGUUCUGCUGAAAGUAACCGGUCUGCUUUUAAUAAAAGUGGUAUCUUGGUAUGUAUUUAGCAAUGAUGUCCUUUGAAGUGUUUUUUACUUUAUUGUAAUAAAGCAUAUUCAGGACUUUUACUUUGAGAAAAUUAGAGUGUUUCUAGCAGGCUAACGCUUUGAAUACUGCAGCAUGA